AAAAAAUAAGAGAAUGGUAGCUCUUAAAUAAAGUAACAGUACAUAUAAGGGAAUACAAAAUCUGCAAUAGAAGAGUUAUAAUUUUCUUCAAGAAUCAAGGGUAUCUCCGAGAUAGUAGCAUUAAUGUAUUCUUGUGCUUGACUACCUGCGCAUGCUUUCAAGAGUGAAUUUAGUAUUCCAAGAAUUAUUUUGAAACAUAUAAUCAUUUCUAGCCAACCAAAUAUUAUAAGCAAUAUACACUGUCAAUGUAGCCUUUCUACCAUGGUGACCUAUAAAUUAUCUAUCAUAGAUGGUUUGGAGGAAGGUGUCAAGAG
Molecule: long non-coding RNA, 314 nt
Filed under: Elaeis guineensis (African oil palm)
Lineage: Eukaryota; Viridiplantae; Streptophyta; Magnoliopsida; Arecales; Arecaceae
Description: long non-coding RNA (EGUI_LNC014073)
Source: RNAcentral